This 360-nucleotide long non-coding RNA is filed under the name Lotus japonicus. RNAcentral's name for it is "long non-coding RNA (LJAP_LNC000763)". The record is from RNAcentral. Lineage: Eukaryota; Viridiplantae; Streptophyta; Magnoliopsida; Fabales; Fabaceae.
CCAUCAAUGCGUUUUUCUUUUUCCCCCUCCCAACCACCGGUGUCUCUUCUCAUUCUUCUUUUUUUUUCCCUCUCUUCAUUUUCCCUUCUUAAUUUUCCUCGAUUUUGUUCAUUCUUUUUCGGUUUUUCCGUGCACAACUACAUUCUUCCUCUGUUAUUGAUGGCUUCGCCGCCCAUUUUGUUCACCCAAUGUUAUUCUCACCAAUCAAAAUUUGUUUUCUGUUUUUUUUUAAAACAAUUUGGUGCAUUUGUUCCCAAACCAUGAUUGUUUUUCUUUGAUUCUUCAGCUUCUGCUGUUUAAAAUUCAAAUUGUUAUGUCACUCCAUCUCUUCUAUAAAAGGGUUUGAUUUCUCAAGCCCAG